GAUGAAGACACGUAGCGAAAUGCGAUAAGUAAUGUGAAUUGCAGAACUCAGUGAAUCAUCGAAUCUUUGAACGCACAUUGCGCCCGCCAGCAUUCUGGCGGGCAUGCCUGUUCGAGCGUCAUUUCAACCAUCAAGCCCCGGGCUUGCGUUGGAGCCCUGCGGCCGCCGCAGCCUCCGAAAUACAGUGGCGGGCUCGCUAUCACACCGAGUGCAGUAGAAUACUCUUCGCUCAGGGCGUGUGGCGGGUGCCAGCCGUGAAACCCCCUACUUCUCAAGGUUGACCUCGGAUCAGGUAGGAAUACCCGCUGAACUUAAGCAUAUCAAUAAGCGGAGGA
Molecule: unclassified non-coding RNA, 335 nt
Filed under: soil metagenome
Description: partial contains 5.8S ribosomal RNA, internal transcribed spacer 2, and large subunit ribosomal RNA
Rfam family: 5.8S ribosomal RNA (bases 1-121)
Source: RNAcentral